CAGAAUAAAGGGGGGGCUGGACAGGGGAGUCUUCGUCCUCGCUUGCAACUCAGCACAAAAGAGAAUGGGAGGAGAGAGAGAGAGGAGUUAGGCUCUGCUUUGGCGGUACUCCAUCUGGUGCUGGGACGCUAGUCUGGUGACGAGCCACAUUUCCCUAGGCGCUGGACUCCGGUGAGUUUUGCCCUCGUUCCUCGACGCGUAAUCCAGGGACCGUAGUAGUCGUCUUGGUAACUCGGCGCGGUUGGGGCAUCGGUGCCUCCGGGAUUCCAUGGAGUAUGGCGGCGGCAUGGGACUCUGGCCUUGGACGCAGUCGGUUGUGCCCGGUUGUCGCGGGUUGGACGACACCGAUAGGUCCGUAGAGCCGAGUACCUGGGCAUGGGGACUGACCUUGGGGCAGCUGGGGCCACCGCUGUAGAGUGCGAGUGCAGGGUAGAAGAUGACAGGGCGUCCCUUGAUCUCACGAUGUACGGCGAGGAUUAGAGGAACGGGAUGAAGAAAACCGGGACCGUAGGAUGGUGAGCGGAGGGGGUAGAUUAAAUCUUGCGUACCCAUUCGUAUCGUGGAAUUUGGGCGGUUAGAUUGUGAUCGUGUGGCCCAGAUCUGGGUGGGAUUUCAUAAAGCGUGGAUCUAAUCGUGACUAUAGAUCUUGAAUCAGACAGCCAGGAUAGAUCCAUACCCCUUCGCGGUUCUAAAUUGUACUUGAGCCCCUCGGUUUAUGUCAAAAUAACCCGCGGUCCAUAUCCCUGUACCCUUUGUCUUAUAACUUUUAGCACCAAGGCCCCUGGUCUUUCUGAAAAUCGACGCCCAGUCCAGAGGAUACUAAAAACCGAGAAAUAAUUAUAGAAAUUAGUUUUUAAUGCAAAAACAAUUCUAGAAACUUGUAAAAUGCAUAGAAAAUUCAUUUUUAAUCCAAAUUGAUCCAUUCCAAUUUCUAAAUUUUGUAAUAUUAAUGUCUAUCACCUAGAAUCUCUGUUUUAGAAUGGAAACAGUAAGAAAAUUUAUUUCUCAUUUAAUCCUAUUUCAAGCACAUAAAACCUUUGGAAAUUCAUAUCUUAAAAUCUAUAACUCCAAAAUUAAUGAUUCCUGUUCCUAGGUCCUUAUUUUAAUGUGUAUAUUAUUAUUGUGUAUUUUAUUUAAAUGUUUGCUGUGAUGUUAAUUUUUGCUAUACUAUGUAUGUAUUGUGUUGAUGCGAGUAGACGAGCAAGCCACUGUGGAUCCUGAGGUUCAGCAGGUAGAAGUUGCUGAGCAGGAGCUCAUUGAAGGCAAGUUUUGCCAUUGAUCACUUACUUUUUCCUAGCCAUUUUCUUAUUAAUUAUAAUGAUCUGCAUAGGGUAAUUUUGAUGGGAUCCAAUAGGUUACCCCAGUUUUGGCUAUCUUUAUACCUUGUGGCCAAUUAAUAUUUUUGGGUAGUACAUGCUAUUGCUUAUUGUGGUUUUGGGUAUGGAGAUACACUAUUCAUGAUUUCAUCUUUAUUAUCUAUUUAUUAUUACUGUUCAUGUUAAGAUCAUUAUGUUAAUGGGAACAUGGAGCGACCAUCCGGGAAAACAGUGCUACCACAAGGGUUUAAUGGGACGCCCUUGGCUGAUUAACUAGGAAAGCUAGUGGAUGACUUCCUUACCCGAAAGGGGCAAGGGCAGUAGGGGAGUGGUCAGUGUAGGGAGGUCCUUGGGUUGAUUUUGCUGCGAUGGCGGUCAGGCGAGGGAUUCCUGCACUAGAGUUUCCUAUAAACUAUAGCGGGAUUUCUGAAGCUAGUGGAACUUUAUAAAGGCCUCGUAGUGUUACCCUGCCUCGCCUCCUCGGUAGAGGUGUAUGGGAUUGGCUGUCUCUUGGCAGAUGGGUAACAUGACUUGUGGGUAAAGAUGCGCAACCUCUGUAGAGUGUAAAGCUGGUAUACUAGUCGUGCUCACGGUCAUGAGCAGCUCGAACACUCACAUGAUUAAUCUAUGGAAUUAAAACUCAAUUUGACAUUUGCAUCACAUUUGGUAUUAUUUUAUUAUUAAUUUUAUUUAUUAUUACUAAGGUUUGGUAUUAACUUAUACUUAGUAAUUGCUAAUUAAAUUUUGACCAACUUAUAAAAGCAAUGCUCAGCUUCAGCCUUUAUUUUGUUGAUCAGCCUUACACUUCACAUGAACUCCCACCUUUGGUGAGUUCAUGCCACAUUAUUCCCCACAACUUGUUGAGCUAUGAUUGUAUGUGAGCUCACUCUUGCUGUCUCACAACCCCCCACAGGAGAAGAAAAGGCGGUCGAAGAGGAGCUGCCUAACUCUGAGGCUUUCGACUUGAUCUAGAUGGCGUCUCCUAGUCAGCUUUGUGGCGCUAGGGACUAAUAUUUAGUUCGCUUUAUUUUAUCAUUUAUUUUUGUAAGACUUCCGCUAUGUAAUAAGUACAUUUAUGAUAUUUAUGACAUUUAUCUCUAUGCACUCUAUUAUUAUAUGUGUUGUCU
RNAcentral lists this long non-coding RNA (2443 nucleotides) under Zea mays. RNAcentral describes it as "long non-coding RNA (ZMAY_LNC000958)". Lineage: Eukaryota; Viridiplantae; Streptophyta; Magnoliopsida; Poales; Poaceae. The record is from RNAcentral.